Molecule: ribosomal RNA, 490 nt
Filed under: uncultured bacterium
Lineage: Bacteria
Description: partial 16S ribosomal RNA
Rfam family: Bacterial small subunit ribosomal RNA
Source: RNAcentral
AUUGAACGCUGGCGGCAGGCCUAACACAUGCAAGUCGAACGGUAACAGGAAGCAGCUUGCUGCUUCGCUGACGAGUGGCGGACGGGUGAGUAAUGUCUGGGAAGCUGCCUGAUGGAGGGGGAUAACUACUGGAAACGGUAGCUAAUACCGCAUAAUGUCGCAAGACCAAAGAGGGGGACCUUCGGGCCUCUUGCCAUCGGAUGUGCCCAGAUGGGAUUAGCUUGUUGGUGGGGUAACGGCUCACCAAGGCGACGACCCCUAGCUGGUCUGAGAGGAUGACCAGCCACACUGGGACUGAGACACGGUCCAGACUCCUACGGGAGGCAGCAGUGGGGAAUAUUGCACAAUGGGCGCAAGCCUGAUGCAGCCAUGCCGCGUGUAUGAAGAAGGCCUUCGGGUUGUAAAGUACUUUCAGCGGGGAGGAAGGGAGUAAAGUUAAUACCUUUGCUCAUUGACGUUACCCGCAGAAGAAGCACCGGCUAACUCCGUG